Molecule: long non-coding RNA, 831 nt
Organism: Bradysia coprophila
Lineage: Eukaryota; Metazoa; Arthropoda; Insecta; Diptera; Sciaridae
Source: RefSeq, a predicted model, not a curated record
CUAAGGCAAAAUAGACCAUAAAAAGUUUCGCGUCAAUGUAACAAUCAUAGUUCACACAUUUUGGCAGUUGUUCAACACAGAUUUAAUUUCAUUAUUUCAAAGAUUCGGCUGUUAAAAUCAUUCGUUGGAAAAAUAAUAAAAAUGGGCAGUAAAACGGUUAAAUACGUUACAAAGUGACUCACAAUUCCAUGAAGAACUUAAUAAUGCAGGCAUACGUCUCGCUGUAGUUUAUUUCUCCGGACAUUGGUGUGGACCUUGUGAGCUUUUAAAUCCAGAAUUCGAAAGAUUACCUCGAAAAUAUCCCAGGGCUGUGUUUAUAAGAGUAGAUGUCGACAAGUGCUUUGACACCGUGGCGGAAUUGGAAAUAUCAGCAAUUCCAACAUUUAUUUUAUACAGAAAUCGGGCCAAAAUAGAUCGUUUAAGAGGAGCAUUUCUUGAGGUGCUGGAAGGAAGGAUAAAAGAACAUAUUGGCACGGGUGAAAGUGAAGCUAUACAAGAGCUUGUGGACUUCGAAAGAAUGGCAUUCAAAUCUUCACAAUCUGAUACAUUAAAAAAAAUUGGUUUUUGAUGGCAAAAUUUUGACUGCAUGGGAACUGGGAACUACCAUUAAAUUUUCAAAAUUAAUUACCAAAAUUCAAUCAUUUUCUGUUGCUCUAAAAGUUAUAAAAUCAAUAAACUUGAAAUGUUUACUUAAAUUAUUUAUUGAACCGGAAAAGUCUAUCCCUUAGAUAUUUUUUCCAUAAAGAUAUAUGCUUUAAAUUGCUUAGCUUUACCUAAAUUAUCUUCAGAUUUACCCAAAUGAUGGUUAUUUGAUUUAUGUUGCCUGUGAUU